Molecule: ribosomal RNA, 460 nt
Filed under: uncultured bacterium
Lineage: Bacteria
Description: partial 16S ribosomal RNA
Rfam family: Bacterial small subunit ribosomal RNA
Source: RNAcentral
CCUACGGGAGGCAGCAGUGAGGAAUAUUGGUCAAUGGACGCAAGUCUGAACCAGCCAUGCCACGUGCAGGAAGACGGCUCUAUGAGUUGUACACUGCUUUUGUACGAGGGUAAACGCAGAUACGCGUAUCUGUCUGCAAGUUUCGUACGAAUAAGGAUCGGCUAACUCCGUGCCAGCAGCCGCGGUAAUACGGAGGAUUCAAGCGUUCCCCGGAUUUAUUGGGUUUAAAGGGUGCGUAGGCGGUCGGAUAAGUUAGAGGUGAAAUCCCGAGGCUCAACUUCGGAAUUGCCUCUGAUACUGUUAGGCUAGAGAGUAGUUGCGGUAGGCGGAAUGUAUGGUGUAGCGGUGAAAUGCUUAGAGAUCAUACAGAACACCGAUUGCGAAGGCAGCUUACCAAGCUACUUCUGACGUUGAGGCACGAAAGCGUGGGGAGCAAACAGGAUUAGAUACCCUUGUAGUC